GACGAACGCUGGCGGCGUGCCUAAUACAUGCAAGUUGAGCGCUGAAGGUUGGUACUUGUACCAACUGGAUGAGCAGCGAACGGGUGAGUAACGCGUGGGGAAUCUGCCUUUGAGCGGGGGACAACAUUUGGAAACGAAUGCUAAUACCGCAUAAAAACUUUAAACACAAGUUUUAAGUUUGAAAGAUGCAAUUGCAUCACUCAAAGAUGAUCCCGCGUUGUAUUAGCUAGUUGGUGAGGUAAAGGCUCACCAAGGCGAUGAUACAUAGCCGACCUGAGAGGGUGAUCGGCCACAUUGGGACUGAGACACGGCCCAAACUCCUACGGGAGGCAGCAGUAGGGAAUCUUCGGCAAUAGACGAAAGUCUGACCGAGCAACGCCGCGUGAGUGAAGAAGGUUUUCGGAUCGUAAAACUCUGUUGGUAGAGAAGAACGUUGGUGAGAGUGGAAAGCUCAUCAAGUGACGGUAACUACCCGGAAAGGGACGGCUAACUACGUG
Molecule: ribosomal RNA, 497 nt
Filed under: uncultured bacterium
Lineage: Bacteria
Description: partial 16S ribosomal RNA
Rfam family: Bacterial small subunit ribosomal RNA
Source: RNAcentral